Molecule: ribosomal RNA, 773 nt
Filed under: uncultured Neocallimastigales
Lineage: Eukaryota; Fungi; Neocallimastigomycota; Neocallimastigomycetes; Neocallimastigales
Description: partial large subunit ribosomal RNA
Rfam family: Eukaryotic large subunit ribosomal RNA
Source: RNAcentral
AGAGAGAGACAUGCGCGCAUAUCAAUAAGCGGAGGAAAAGAAACUAACAAGGAUUCCCUUAGUAACGGCGAGUGAAGCGGGAAGAGCUCAAAUUUGAAAUCUUCAAGGUUCUACCUUGACGAAUUGUAGUUUAAAGAAGUGUUUUCUGCUGGAAGUCUUGGUAAAAGUUCUUUGGAAUAGGACAUCAUAGAGGGUGAGAAUCCCGUAUUUGACCAUUAUUUCAGCUUUGUGAUACACUUUCAAGAGUCGGAUUGUUUGGGAAUGCAGUCCAAAAUGGGUGGUAAAUUUCAUCUAAAGCUAAAUAUUGGCGAGAGACCGAUAGCGAACAAGUACCGUGAGGGAAAGAUGAAAAGAACUUUGAAAAGAGAGUUAAACAGUACGUGAAAUUGUCAAAAGGGAAGCGUUUGACACCAGUGUUGUUUUCUCGAAAAUCAAUUAAAAAUGGCUCGAUUUUGUAUUGCUGAGACCUUAAAAGCUCACUGUACAUUUUUCGUGUCUUUUUUAAUGCACUUUUCGUUUAACAAGUCAACAUCAGUUUCUUUUGUUGUAAAAGGGUCAUUGGAAGGUGGCUUUCUUUUCGGAGAAAGUGUUUAUAGCCUUUGGCCUCUGCAAUCGGAGAGACUGAGGUCUGCAGCGUAGACUCUUCGGGGUUAGAUACAUUUGUGCUAAGUUAUAGCUUUUUAUAGACAACUUGUUGACUAUAAUUAGUCUUGUAGCUUACUCGCUUAUGCUAUUUUACCUACGCUUAGGAUGUUGAAGAUGUAGCACAUCAU